CAGUCGCCACGGGAAUACGAAGGGGGCUAGCGUUGCUCGGAAUGACUGGGCGUAAAGGGCGCGUAGGCGGAUUGUUUAGUUAGGCGUGAAAUUCCUGGGCUUAACCUGGGGACUGCGCUUAAUACAGGCAGUCUAGAGUGAGGAAGAGGGUUGUGGAAUUCCCAGUGUAGAGGUGAAAUUCGUAGAUAUUGGGAAGAACACCGGUGGCGAAGGCGGCGACCUGGUCCUUGACUGACGCUGAGGCGCGAAAGCGUGGGGAGCAAACAGGAUUAGAUACCCCCGUAGUCCCUGUCUCUUAUAC
Molecule: ribosomal RNA, 301 nt
Filed under: uncultured bacterium
Lineage: Bacteria
Description: partial 16S ribosomal RNA
Rfam family: Bacterial small subunit ribosomal RNA
Source: RNAcentral